GGAAUUUUACGCAAUGGGCGAAAGCCUGACGUAGCGACACCGCGUGAGCGACGAAGCCCCUUGGGGUGUAAAGCUCUGUCAGCUGGAACGAAAAAAAUGACGGUACCAGCAGAGGAAGCAUCGGCUAACUACGUGCCAGCAGCCGCGGUAAGACGUAGGAUGCAAGCGUUGUCCGGAUUUAUUGGGCGUAAAGAGUUCGUAGGUGGUUUGUUAAGUUUGGUGUUAAAGAUUGGGGCUCAACCCUGAAACUGCACUGAAUACUGGCAGACUCGAGUGUGGUAGAGGCUAGUGGAAUUCCCAGUGUAGCGGUGAAAUGCGUAGAUAUUGGGAAGAACACCGGUGGCGUAGGCGACUAGCUGGGCCAUAACUGACACUGAGGAACGAAAGCCAGGGGAGCGAAUG
Molecule: ribosomal RNA, 402 nt
Filed under: uncultured Vampirovibrio sp.
Lineage: Bacteria; Bacillati; Candidatus Melainabacteria; Vampirovibriophyceae; Vampirovibrionales; Vampirovibrionaceae
Description: bacterial SSU rRNA
Rfam family: Bacterial small subunit ribosomal RNA
Source: RNAcentral